Molecule: ribosomal RNA, 1193 nt
Filed under: bacterium EBAD45
Lineage: Bacteria
Description: bacterial LSU rRNA
Rfam family: Bacterial large subunit ribosomal RNA
Source: RNAcentral
GUACCGGGGCUAGCCAUGCACCGAAGCUGAGGAUGUGCAGUUUACUGCACGUGGUAGCGGAGCGUUCUGUAAGUCUGUGAAGGGAGACCCGUGAGGGCUCCUGGAGAUAUCAGAAGUGCGAAUGUUGACAUGAGUAACGAUAAAGGGAGUGAGAGACUCCCUCGCCGAAAGACCAAGGGUUCCUGCUUAAAGUUAAUCUGAGCAGGGUGAGCCGGCCCCUAAGGCGAGGCCGAAAGGCGUAGUCGAUGGGAACCACGUUAAUAUUCGUGGGCCUGGUGGUAGUGACGGAUCUCGUGUGUUGUAUCUCCUUACUGGAUUGGAGGUGCAGCGAAGAGGUUCCAGGAAAUAGCUCCACCGUAUAGACCGUACCCGAAACCGACACAGGUGGUCAGGUAGAGAAUACCAAGGCGCUUGAGAGAACUGCGUUGAAGGAACUCGGCAAAUUGCACGCGUAACUUCGGAAGAAGCGUGACCCUUGUUUACGCAAGUAGAUGAGGGUGGCACAGACCAGGGGGUAGCGACUGUUUAUCAAAAACACAGGGCUCUGCGAAGUCGCAAGACGACGUAUAGGGCCUGACGCCUGCCCGGUGCUGGAAGGUUAAGAGGAGAGGUGCAAGCUUUGAAUCGAAGCCCCAGUAAACGGCGGCCGUAACUAUAACGGUCCUAAGGUAGCGAAAUUCCUUGUCGGGUAAGUUCCGACCUGCACGAAUGGCGUAACGACUUCCCCGCUGUCUCCAACGCAGACUCAGUGAAAUUGAAUUCCCCGUGAAGAUGCGGGGUUCCUGCGGUCAGACGGAAAGACCCCGUGCACCUUUACUAUAGCUUUACACUGGCAUUCGCCAAGGCAUGUGUAGGAUAGGUGGUAGGCUUUGAAGCGUGGGCGCCAGCUCGCGUGGAGCCACCCUUGAAAUACCACCCUUAUCUUCGUGGAUGUCUAACCGCGGCCCGUUAUCCGGGUCCGGGACAGUGUAUGGUGGGUAGUUUGACUGGGGCGGUCGCCUCCGAAAGAGUAACGGAGGCGCGCGAUGGUAGGCUCAGACCGGUCGGAAAUCGGUCGACGAGUGCAAUGGCAUAAGCCUGCCUGACUGCGAGACUGACAAGUCGAGCAGAGACGAAAGUCGGUCAUAGUGAUCCGGUGGUCCCGCGUGGAAGGGCCAUCGCUCAACGGAUAAAAGGUACGCCGGGGAUAACAG